AGCGAACGCUGGCGGCAGGCCUAACACAUGCAAGUCGAACGAACCUUUCGGGGUUAGUGGCGGACGGGUGAGUAACACGUGGGAACGUGCCUUUAGGUUCGGAAUAACUCAGGGAAACUUGUGCUAAUACCGAAUGUGCCCUUCGGGGGAAAGAUUAAUCGCCUUUAGAGCGGCCCGCGUCUGAUUAGCUAGUUGGUUGAGGUAAUGGCUCACCAAGGCGACGAUCAGUAGCUGGUCUGAGAGGAUGAUCAGCCACAUUGGGACUGAGACACGGCCCAAACUCCUACGGGAGGCAGCAGUGGGGAAUCUUGCGCAAUGGGCGAAAGCCUGACGCAGCCAUGCCGCGUGAAGGAUGAAGGUCUUAGGAUUGAAAAAUUCUUUCACCGGGGACGAUAAUGACGGUACCCGGAGAAGAAGCCCCGGAUAACUUCG
This 432-nucleotide ribosomal RNA is filed under the name uncultured bacterium. RNAcentral's name for it is "partial 16S ribosomal RNA". It matches the Rfam family "Bacterial small subunit ribosomal RNA", at positions 29 to 505 of the family's 1533-position model. The record is from RNAcentral.